RNAcentral lists this ribosomal RNA (253 nucleotides) under uncultured bacterium. Its description in RNAcentral is "partial 16S ribosomal RNA". It matches the Rfam family "Bacterial small subunit ribosomal RNA", at positions 524 to 776 of the family's 1533-position model. The record is from RNAcentral.
UACGUAGGGUGCAAGCGUUGUCCGGAAUUACUGGGCGUAAAGGGCGCGUAGGCUGUGCUGUAAGUCAGGCGUGAAAGCCCCGGGCUCAACCUGGGAAUUGCGCUUGAUACUGCGGCGCUGGAAGGUGGGAGAGGAUGGCGGAAUUCCCAGUGUAGAGGUGAAAUUCGUAGAUAUUGGGAAGAACACCGGUGGCGAAGGCGGCCAUCUGGCCCAUUUUUGACGCUGAGGCGCGAAAGCGUGGGGAGCAAACAGG